AUAACAUUUGAACCAUCGGUCUACCGAGCAAUAUCCUCCGCUCGGUAGAAGAUCCUUUCGUCGU
Molecule: microRNA precursor, 64 nt
Filed under: Bombyx mori (domestic silkworm)
Lineage: Eukaryota; Metazoa; Arthropoda; Insecta; Lepidoptera; Bombycidae
Description: mir-2774 microRNA precursor family
Rfam family: mir-2774 microRNA precursor family
Source: Rfam by way of RNAcentral